GUGCUCACUGUGCCAGCACAUAUACUGAAAUUGGAGUGAUACAGAGAUUAGCAUGGCCCGUGCACAAGGAUGACAUGCAAAUGCAUGAAGUGGUCCAUUUCUUU
Molecule: small nuclear RNA, 104 nt
Organism: Gorilla gorilla gorilla (western lowland gorilla)
Lineage: Eukaryota; Metazoa; Chordata; Mammalia; Primates; Hominidae
Source: RefSeq, a predicted model, not a curated record